CGGCCACGAGGGCCGACAAAAAUAUGACCAUAUUUUCGUCUGCCGACGAAAAAACGCCUAUUUUCGUCGACUUUAUUUUGUCGGCCUAAUUUCGUCGGCAUUAGGCCUAUUUUCGUCGGCUUCUGGCCGACGAAAAUACCCUAUUUUCCUGUAGUGUUGGAAGCGCAUAAAGCACUCGGUGUUAUCAAAAGAUACAUCGUGGGAAGAGUGCCCUCUUCAGUUAAGUUAAAUGUUGGGGAGCCUUGUACCCGGUGUCAUGCUAUAGGUGUGAAGAAACCAAAGUUAUCUAACAAUUAAGUGUGCAAUGUUGCACAUGUUGUUGUAAACUUAAUGUUUUGGUAGUGUCCAGCUGAACAAUGCUGCUUCUUUUUUUCCCCCUGUCAUAACCGCUAAAACGUCCAGGCUAUCCUGUGGUAUCACACCCUGUGCCUUUAGCACUUGAUUUGAACUUUUGAGACUAGUAGUUUAGCUCUUCAGACCUUCAGCCAAAAGUUCGCUGGCCGUGACCCGUUCUUAUAACAUGAUGGCUGUAUGCAAACAUCACCAUUUAGAACGCGUCAUCCUUUUCCUGCUUCCUGUGCUCCUUUUCUUUUUUGUAAUGGAAAGUUGUUGGGCUCCUAGGCUCCUAGCUCUUACUUUCUCCGUUUUUAUUUAUAUAUCGUAUUAGUUUUGUCCUAAGUCAAAGUUAGCUAAUUUGACCAAAUCUAUAGAAAAAUAUAACAACAACUAUAAUAUUCAACAUAUACGCUAUCAACGUAUACUUCAUGGUGGAUUCAAUGAAACAAAUUUUGUAUUGUAAAUGUGUUAUUAUUUUUGCUAUAAAGUUGGCCAAAUUUGACUUAGGAUAAACCUAGUACGAUAUGAAAAUAAAAACAGUGGAAGUAAUAGUUUUUGGAGCCAACUCGGUUUCGGAAUUUGUUUUCUUUUUUGAGAGGAGGAAACUAUGUAAACAUGGUAGUCUUUUUUUUAGAAAAUGUAAACAUGGUAGUCUAGAAGCGCAAAGUAGAAAAGCGCAUAAAUAACGAAGGCCUGUACACGAAGCCCACACAAACUGAUCAUGGCCCAUUCAAGAUUACGUCAGAUUGGUUUCCUCCUACCCAAUUCUCUCUCGCUCUCCUUUCGACGUCGCAUUCCAGAGCUCGAUUUGCUCACGGAGCAUCUGUUUUCUGUAGCCCUACUCAUCACCAUAAGAAAAAAAGAAGGGUGACCCCGCCCUUCUCCUUACCCAAAGGCCCCAACCCGGCGGCGCUAACUCGAUUUCUUCCCCUAGCGCCCUCUUCAGUUGUUUCGGACGAUUUCGAAUCGAAAACGAGAGCGCGCGGGAGGUGCGGAAUUGAGGUACCUAGAGACAGGGGUGCAGAUAGAUCUAGAGGGGAGACAAGCACAAAAGCACUUGCGCACACAGAGAGAUGGAAGGGCGAAGUGAGGUCGGCCAGCUGCGGCUUCGUGCCCUCGGAACCGGAACCAUGGGGUUCGUGGCGCUGAAUCGCCUCGUGUUCAAGCAGAAGGAGCAGAGGUGUCGCCGGCGAAUCCACAUUUUGCUUUUGCAUCAGAUUCGUUUGUGGUUGCAUGCAUACCAAUCUGUGUGAAGCGUGAUCUGGCUGAACCGUCAUCCUCGAUGGCUUUUAAGGUGUUUGCUGCUAUCGAAUUCAACUUACCUACAAACAGUUUUGGUGGGCUUACCUUGGGACUACACCUUUGCUGUAGCUUUGGGUCACAUUUUAGCACUUUACAUGGCUGGACCUCCGGUGCCUAGCAGUCCGACGUGUGACGACUCCUUCCAGCCACCCUGCGAUGAGAAUCCAAGAGGCAGAAUGAAGCUGCUGCAGAUGGUUUGGAUGGCUUUGAUACUGAUGAAGAAGAGGAUGAUGAAGUUGAGUCUGACAGAGAUUGGUCUUGAUAAUGAAGAUGGCGAUGGAGUAAUAAUUUCAAUCCUCAGAGUUUUGCGGAGGUGAGAGGUUUCCAUCGAGAAGAUUCAGAAGAUGAUUCUGAUGAUGAUUUUAGCGACGAUGAAGAGCUACAGACACCAAUAGAUGAGGUGGGCCCAUUUAUUUUCUUUGUCGAAACCAUCCAGGGUUUUCAAGCAUCUGAUCCAAGUAGGUUCCAGAGCCUUAUGCAGACUAUGCACGCCGAGGAAAGAAAAGCUGAAAUUGCAAAAGAGAAGUUGGAGAAGGCAACUGCACAGUGAUUACUACAGCAUGGUUGGGUCGUGUCUUGAGUUUUGCCGAUGCCUGGGACUGGCACGGGGCCAGAAUCCUGUCUGUGAUUUGGUGAUCGCAGGUGAGGGGUGUUUUUUUCGUUGCCUUGGCCUACCUGCUUUGGGGAGGUCAGUUUUGAGGCACACUAUUUCUAGGGGAAAUGGAUGGCAACCAUAGCGACUAGUGAGAGUCUGUCGGAGUUGGUUUCUUGAGUGGGUCAUGGUGGGGGUGUAUGUAUCAGUGAACACUGUGUUGCCGCUGUUUUCGGUUGAUGGGUCCUCUGCUAGAUGGUACACCGUGGGCACACCCACCACAAGGUCGCCGCCUGUAAGUUUCGGGGGUGUGAAUCUAAAUUAGAUACUUAUUAUUAUACCAUUUGUGUGCCCAACAAGGAUUAUACGACGGGUUUUUGUUU
Molecule: long non-coding RNA, 2613 nt
Organism: Panicum hallii
Lineage: Eukaryota; Viridiplantae; Streptophyta; Magnoliopsida; Poales; Poaceae
Exons: 7
Source: RefSeq, a predicted model, not a curated record